Molecule: long non-coding RNA, 3678 nt
Filed under: Ananas comosus (pineapple)
Lineage: Eukaryota; Viridiplantae; Streptophyta; Magnoliopsida; Poales; Bromeliaceae
Description: long non-coding RNA (ACOM_LNC036524)
Source: RNAcentral
AUCAGAGUAUCUCUAGAAGCAUCUUACUGCAUUAAGUACACAACUGUGAUAGACUGUUUGCAUAGAUUAGGUAAAUGGACAAGCCUUAUAAUGUUUAAGGCAUGCUGUUGUAGAUUAGACUGCUGUAGUACUGCACUGCUGUCAAUUUCUGUAGAGAAUAUUUCGGCGUUGUGCCCAGAAAGAACAAAGCAUCAGUGGCUGGACAUAAGUAGUUGUCUUUAAGAGUGGGUAUCAGGUACUAAUCUUCUUCUUCCAUACUGCAGUUAGAUUGUACAAAGGAAAAAAAAAAAAGGGUAGUUAUUAGUACCUUGCUGAUAUAGUCCUGAUUAGAUUUUUGAUAAAUAACUGAAACUGAAGGGCUAUCUUUUUCUUUUUUUGAACAAUCUACCAGCAUGAAACUUUUCAUGAUUAGCUUUGUAAGCACCAAGAUAAGCAGUAAUUUUCUAGAGCUCGUGCAAACUCGUCGUCUCUAACAUAUUAGCUGUGGAUUCUGGUAGAGAUAUAUCUAUGAAAUUUGGCUCGCAGAUCUUGCGUUGCUGCUGUAUUUUCCGUCAUUUUAUGUUAUCUAAGACAUAUGUGCUUCUUCAUCUGCUAUAGUAGUGGAAAUAUUUUACUUUUAAUCUGCGAAAAACUUUUAUUCAUUAUAAAGAGCAUUCUUUUUUUGUAGAUAAGAAGUCAUGCGCAAAAGUACUUUUUGAAGGUUCAAAAGAAUGGCACGAGCGAACAUGUACCACCCCCUCGACCAAAGAGGAAAGCAGCGCAUCCAUAUCCGCAAAAAGCACCUAAAAAUGGUAUGAUCUCUAACAGAGCUAUAAUGAGCUAUAUGUUUGAGUACAACUAAGUUUUUAUUUUGGGUGAAACUUUUGCAGCUGCCAUCAUAACUCAGGCUGUCGCUCCUUCACCGGCUUCUUCUCUUGUGUUGGAACCCUGCUAUACCGUAUCUAGUGAUAGCUCUACUGUCGUUAGGAACUCUACUUCAAAUGCUACAUUGUCCUCUUGUGUUAAUGGUUCAGUUCAGCCUUUUAGUGCUGCUCAAAUGACAAAAGGUAUUAAUCAUCAAAUCCAAGUAUUUACUCAUUCAUUGUGUAAUUUUUUUUGCCUUUUUGUAAAUGAUUUCCCCAUUCAACCGUGGAAAAUAAGCUAACCUAAGUCUUAAAUGUGAUGCAGUACCAAGCGAAGCUAUUAUGGCCAAUAAUUGUUGUAGCAGGACUGAGAGCCCUACUGAGGUGUGGCUGGCUUCUGAAACAACUGAGAAGGAAAAUCAAGUUCCAUUUCUUCGGGGUUAGUCUCGCCUUUUAGUUUGUACUUAAGAUUCACUUCAUAGGCAUAACUCAUUGCCUGCAACCAGUGUAAUCUUACAUAUCAUAAAACACGAUUACUAGGUGGGGAUUAAUACUUCAAAAUUAUAAUUUUUCUAAAUAGAAACCUAAAAUAAAAUUCUAAUUCUACAAAUCUGAUCCACGACAUCUAAAUAAUUGUUUCCUGUGAAUGCUAUUGGAUUUUUGAAUUCUUGUUAUCUCAUUGAGUACUUAAUUGGCAGGGCUACAUUACUAGCAGCUUAUUAUAUGUAUUUUCCUUCUCUCACCACACAAGUCCAUACUCCAAUAAGUAAAAUUAAUAGUUCUUAAUUUUUUUUCCCCAUGUAUCGCCAUAAUUAUGAAGAAAUGAAUCAUUAAGUUUGUCUUAAUAUACAUAUAAAUUUUUUUUUGUAUAUUUUCUGCAGUUGUCGUUUGUCUGGCCAUGUGAUUUUUCAGUUGAGAUGCAAUUGAGCGUAUACCCUUUUACUUUUCUGUCAUUAUAUUCUGUUUACUCACAUUUCUUUUUUUGCUUUCGUCUGGUGUGUCGUGAAGUCAUGCCGGACUUCUCUCAGGUAUACAGCUUUCUUGCCGGCAUAUUUGACCCAAAUACAAGUGGGCAUUUGGAGAAGCUUAAAGAGAUGGACCCAAUUGAUGUUGAAACAGUAUGCUAUUCAUCCCACCUUCAUUUUUAUUUAACUUCAUGUUAGUUGUUUAAAACAUACUGAGUUGCUCUAUUCAUGUUUAACAAUAUGGUGAACUGUAUAUUAGUUGCUUCUAUUUUUCUAGUUCUCUUUCUCCCCAGUGAAUUCUCAAAAAUUUCAGGACUUAGUUCGUGUUUUAUCACAUCUAAAUUUCUCUAUUAUUAGUAGGAAUUGAGGUCCCAGUUUCUUCAAUACAAAUGUAGAUGUAGUUAUUGUUUUAAAUAGAGUUCGCUGAGAUGUUAACUUGGUCUUAUAUGUUCUAUGAAAGCAUGAAGUUCUAAUGCAUAAUUGAGGAAUACGGCAUUGCUAGAUUAAGGUAGAAAAUAAUUUGGAAAAACUUCAAAAACCCCCCCUGUGGUUUCAUAGUUUCUCACUUUGCCCCUCUGUGGUUUAAAAUGUAUCAAAUUGCCCCCCUAUGGUUUUGUUUUUAUCUUUUCGGUAGCUUUUUCGUUAAUAUUUCAUUAAAUUAUAUAUAAAAAACUUCAGAUACCCAUCUAGAUUUAUCAAAUAUUCACUUUAGUACCCUUUAAAUUAACUUUAUCACUGAUUUAUAAAAAAAAAAAAAUGAAAUUGAUAAGAAAAAGAGAAAAAAGAAACCACAGAGGAGCAAAUUGAUACAUUUUAAACCACAAGGGGGCAAAGUGAGACUACGAAACCACGGGGGGGUUUUUGAAGUUUUCCCAAAUAAUUUUUUGAGGUCAAAUGACAUCAUGAUUUUGUUAGUGGCAUGCAUGAGUAAUUUUGGGAAAAGACAACUAGAUGUAACUUUCUCAUAUUAACCGAAGUAGUAUAUAUGCAUUGUUAACGAGGAUCAUUCUGUUUUGAGAUAGGCUUUUUUUCGGGUCAUACUCAUUCAGGUUCAAUUUCUCGAUUCGGUUUAUUAACUUGAAAGCUUCCUAGUUAAGAUCUUGGUAUUUUACAAUAUCCUUUAACAGGCAAAGUAGUGGCCGUCCCCUUGCAAUAUUCCUCAAAUGCAUGAACUCGAGACAACCUAAAAUUUAUGCUUUCAUUACUUCUUUGAUGCACGAGGAAGUGGCGUAUGUCUCUAAACGUGCAUCUGAUUAUAUUUCGAAAAUGCUUCUCUACAGUGAAUCAGCAUAUUCUAAUGUUCAUAUUAUAUUAUUAUUGUUGUUUUUUAUUGUCUCGCGCUUCAAACCUCGCCUUGAUUGACUCAUGUUCUCUUUGCUUACUAUGUCCAGGUACUGUUGCUGAUGAGGAACCUAUCGGCCAAUUUGACCAGCCCCGACUUUGAGGCACAUGUAAGUAACUCCAUUUGUCGAGAUUCAGCAUAUCAGUUCAUUUUCUUAAAUCAAUAGUAAUUUAUACCCUAUCCAUCCUCUACUCCCUAAUGUGUAUUUGAAUCAUCUCUUAUUCUUUUUUAUAAACUGUCAUCGUCAUCGACUCUCCUGCUGAAGUUCAAUUUUGGUUAUCUCAGUAGCAGUGUUGAUUUCCAUGAUGUAAUGAUUGAAGUCAGUUUCUUUUUUCUUUUUUUUUUUUUGAAGAAAAAUAUAUUUUAUUUUUUUCUUUUUAUAUUCACUUAUUUUCUUUCCCAUUCUGGCUUUUCGUAAUGCCCUAACUUCCUUUCUGUAUUCUUACCUUUACGAUGUUGUUUCAGAGACGGUUACUUUCCACAUAUGGUUCCGGCACGGAGGAAGCUAACUCGAACAGCUUCAGCAAUC